Molecule: ribosomal RNA, 301 nt
Filed under: uncultured bacterium
Lineage: Bacteria
Description: partial 16S ribosomal RNA
Rfam family: Bacterial small subunit ribosomal RNA
Source: RNAcentral
CAGCCGCCACGGUAAUACGAAGGGGGCUAGCGUUGUUCGGAUUUACUGGGCGUAAAGCGCACGUAGGCGGACUUUUAAGUCAGGGGUGAAAUCCCGGGGCUCAACCCCGGAACUGCCUUUGAUACUGGAAGUCUUGAGUAUGGUAGAGGUGAGUGGAAUUCCGAGUGUAGAGGUGAAAUUCGUAGAUAUUCGGAAGAACACCAGUGGCGAAGGCGACAUACUGGCUCAUUACUGACGCUGAGGCUCGAAAGCGUGGGGAGCAAACAGGAUUAGAUACCCCCGUAGUCCCUGUCUCUUAUAC